CCAAAAACAUAGCCCUUUCUAAAAUAAAAGGUGUUACCUGCCCAAUGAUUAACAAAUCAAGAAAUAAAAGUACUCUAAGUUAAUUCAACGGACGCGGUAUCCUGACCGUGAUAAUGUAGCAUAAUCAUUCGCCAUUUAAUUGAUGGAUAGUAUGAAUGGUAUAACGAAUACACCACUGUCUCAAAAGAAAUUCUUAUGAAAUUAGAAUAAUAGUGAAGAUACUAUUUAAGACUGUAAGACGAGAAGACCCUAUAGAGCUUCACUACAACUCUCUACACCCUUGUAAAUUUAUUUAAACACUUAGAGAGAUAGGUAGUUUAGUUGGGGCGACUGCUUUCUAAAAUUAACGAAAGUAUGCAAUAUUAAUAAAUUAAUUUACUGUCUAAUCCAUAGAUUUAACAGUUAUAAAAAUAGGCUAUAAUGACCCGUUAUCUAAAAGUAAUUGUGAUAACGAUCAAUAAAUAAAAGCUACCUUAGGGAUAACAGGAUAAUCUUGUUUUAGAGACCCUAUCGAAAACAAGGUUUGUCACCUCUAUGUUGAAUUAAGACAUCCAAGAAGUGUAGCAGCUUCUAAGGGUAGGUCUGUUCGACCUGUAAUGUCUUACAUGAUUUGA
This 614-nucleotide ribosomal RNA is filed under the name Solanderia secunda. RNAcentral's name for it is "partial 16S ribosomal RNA". It matches the Rfam family "Bacterial large subunit ribosomal RNA", at positions 1807 to 2608 of the family's 2925-position model. The record is from RNAcentral. Lineage: Eukaryota; Metazoa; Cnidaria; Hydrozoa; Anthoathecata; Hydractiniidae.